This 77-nucleotide transfer RNA is filed under the name Eritrichium nanum. RNAcentral's name for it is "partial tRNA-His". The stretch from base 25 to 77 matches the Rfam family "tRNA", at positions 1 to 50 of the family's 71-position model. From Rfam's summary of the family: Transfer RNA (tRNA) molecules are approximately 80 nucleotides in length. Lineage: Eukaryota; Viridiplantae; Streptophyta; Magnoliopsida; Boraginales; Boraginaceae. The record is from RNAcentral.
UUCUAAAAGUAUAUAAAAAGAGGGGCGGAUGUAGCCAAGUGGAUCAAGGCAGUGGAUUGUGAAUCCACCAUGCGCGA